GACGAACGCUGGCGGCGUGCUUAACACAUGCAAGUCGAGCGGUAAGGCCCUUCGGGGUACACGAGCGGCGAACGGGUGAGUAACACGUGAGUAAUCUGCCCAUCACUUCGGGAUAACUCCGGGAAACCGGUGCUAAUACCGAAUAUGACCACUUCAGGCAUCUGAUGGUGGUGGAAAGUUCCGGCGGUGAUGGAUGAGCUCGCGGCCUAUCAGCUUGUUGGUGGGGUAGGGGCCUACCAAGGCUUCGACGGGUAGCCGGCCUGAGAGGGUGACCGGCCACACUGGGACUGAGACACGGCCCAGACUCCUACGGGAGGCAGCAGUGGGGAAUAUUGGACAAUGGGCGAAAGCCUGAUCCAGCAACGCCGCGUGAGGGAUGACGGCCUUCGGGUUGUAAACCUCUUUCAGCAGGGACGAAGCGCAAGUGACGGUACCUGCAGAAGAAGCACCGGCCAACUACGUG
RNAcentral lists this ribosomal RNA (463 nucleotides) under uncultured bacterium. RNAcentral describes it as "partial 16S ribosomal RNA". It matches the Rfam family "Bacterial small subunit ribosomal RNA", at positions 28 to 507 of the family's 1533-position model. The record is from RNAcentral.